Molecule: non-coding RNA, 32 nt
Filed under: Rattus norvegicus (Norway rat)
Lineage: Eukaryota; Metazoa; Chordata; Mammalia; Rodentia; Muridae
Source: RNAcentral
UAAAUCUUUGUUGAUGAACUAAAAUUUAUUGC